This 5012-nucleotide long non-coding RNA is filed under the name Sus scrofa (pig). Its description in RNAcentral is "lncRNA (ENSSSCG00000045343.1)". Lineage: Eukaryota; Metazoa; Chordata; Mammalia; Artiodactyla; Suidae. The record is from RNAcentral.
CUUUUGUCUUUUUAUGGCUGCACCCGAAGCAUAUGGAGGUUCCCAGGCUAGGAAUCUAAUUGGAGCUGUAGUCACCGGCCUACACCACAGCCACAACAACUGGGGAUCCGAGCCUUGUCUGCGUCUGUGGCCUACACCAUGCUCACGGUGAUGCCGGAUCCUUAACCCACUGAGCAAGGCCAGGGAUCAAACCCGUAACCUCAAGUUUCCUAGUCAGAUUCAUUUCCACUGUGCCAUGACGGGAACUCCAAGAAUGAAUUAUUAUUAUUAUUAUUAUUUUGUCUUUUUGCCUUUUUCUAGGGCCACUCCCUCGGCAUAUGGAGGUUCCCAGGCUAGGGGUCUAAUUGGAGCUGUAGCCUCUGGCCACAGCCACAGCAACUUGAGAUCCAAGCCACGUCUUUGACCUACACCACAGCUCAUGGCAACACCGGAUCCUUAACCCACUGAGCAAGGCUAGGGAUCGAACCCACAACCUCAUGUUCCUAGUCAGAUUCAUUAACCACUGAGCCACGACGGGAACUCCAAGAAUGAAUUAUUUUUAAUGGCCGCAUCUGUGGCAUAUAUGAAAGUUCCCAGGCUAGGGGUUGAAUCGGAGCUCCAGCUGCCAGCCGACACCACAGCCACAGCAACACCAGAGCCAAGCUGCGUCUGCAACUUGCACCACGGCUCACAGCAACACCAGAUCCUUUAACCCACUGAGCGAGGCUAGGGAUCCAACCUGCUUCCUCAUGCAUGCUAGUUGGGUUCUUAACCCACUGAGCUACAAUGGGAACUCCUGAUCAUUUCAAUAGAUGCAAAAAAUGCUAAAAGCCACCCUUCAUCGUUGAAGAAAUAAAGAAAAGAGGAAUGAAAGAAGGAAGGCUGUAUGGAUGGCAGGGAGAGAAAAAAAGAGAAAUCUAGAAUAUAAGGGAACUUAAGUUUGGGGGUUACACAUAGAAGAACGAUAGUUAAUGUUGUAUGUAACAAUGAAAUGUUAAGUCAUUCCCUUAGACAAGAAAGUUCACUAUCAGCACUUUUCAUUAACACGCGACUGGAAGUUCUAACCACAGUAGUAGUAAGAAAUAAAAGCCAUAAUAAUUGGAAAGGAAGAAACAAAACUGUCAUUAUUUAAAGAUAUUUAUUUCCUAAUAGAAAAUCCCAAGAAUUGAGAAAAAGAAUUAAAUUUUUCAAAAUAGAAAGUUUAGCACUGUUGUCAUAUAUUAUCAAUAUACUGAUUUCUACUGCAUUUUCAGAGACCAGGAUCAAAGUCUAUCACCAAUUUUACUCGAGAAAUGGUCCCCAAGUUCAGGGGCCCAGACUCACUUCAGCUCUCCAGAAGAGGCUUCACACAUAGUCAAAAUUUCCAGCUGGGGCUCUCUGUUUUUUUCUUUAAGGAAAGCUUUUAAAGAGGAUAGUCACAGUUAAUGUCAUCAGGAAGACAGACAGCGUAAGUGGAGAUCUGGUUGCUAACGCUUUGUCUCGGUCUAUUUUCCCUUAAUAACCGUUUCAACACUAUCAGCCUGAAUGAAGACAAAGAAGAUCCAAAGAGAUAUAAAAUAUGCACCGUUAAGAAGACUUGGUAUGAUUCAUUACAUUUGAGUUCAAAUAACUGCAUUCGGAAAAGGAUAAAUGGAGAAGGGCUGGUUUAAUAAGCCCUCUAGUGAUAAAAGCCCUGGGAACUGUUGUCAAUUAUCUAUGUUUCUCGGGUUAAAAAAGAAAAAAGAAAAAAAGAAAAAGACAGCGUGUCUGAACACUGGUAAAUUAAAAGUCCAGAGAAGAAUGAUAAGAGCCAAAUUAGAUAAAGAAGCUAUGAUACUUGAGUCUGUAGAAGCAAAGAUUCACAGGGGAACCCAAGUGAGAGCUUUCUUCUAAUGUUUAUUCUUCUAAUGUUUAAAGUGGGUGGGCCACUGCAGUUCCUGUCUAGGAACCAUAAGGUUGUGGGUUUGAUUCCUGGCCACACUCAGCGGAUUAAGGAUCUGGUGUUGCUGUGGGCUGUGCUGUAGGUUGCAGACAUGGCUUGGAUCCUGCAUUGCUGUGGCUGUGGCGUAGGCCAGAGGCUACAGCUCUGAUUUGACCUCUAGUCCGGGAAAUUCAAUAUGCUGCGGGUACAGCCCUAAAAAGACAUAAAUAAAACAGAAAGUUCAAAUUAAUGAUGUGCAUUUGGUGCAGUGCCUAUCAUGUAAAAAGCCACAAACUCAGCUCCAAUUGUUUUUUUCUAUUCAAAAUGCCAGCCCAUUAUAGCAAUACAAUCUCACCUCAGCAAACAAGAAAAAUUCCAAAUAAACAACCUAAACUUACACCUAAAACAACCAGAGAAAGGAGAACAAACAAAACCCAAAGUCAGUAGAAAGGAAGAAAUAAAGAUCAGAGCAGAAAUAAAUGCUAACAAAAUGCCAGCCCAGCAUUGAUGGAACAUCACAUUUUUUAAAGAAAAGCUGAAAAUACAGAUUUUUACAAGAAAUCUGUAUUUUUAAUUUUUUUUUUUUUAAGGGCCGCACCUAGAGCAUAUGGACAUUCCCAGGCUAGGGGUCAAAUCGGAGCUCCCUGAAAAACAAAACAAAAAAUAAAUACAGAGAAAUGAAAUUAAACCUAAAUAUUCUGGAACCAUUUCCAGCGUGGGGGUGUGGUUUCUUUCCACACAGAAGCAAAGAGUGAUUUUUCCAACAGCAGCUGGGGGUCCAACCGUUCAACUCUAUUCCAACACCAUUUACCCCGAGACGGCAUCAGACACCACAAGUUAAGGGCUCAGUCUCACAUCCAGCUCAUUACCUGUACUUCUAACCAACUGGCUAUAAAACAGAAGCUUCCGCAACCCCCUCCUUGGGUUCAAUUAACUUGCAAGACCAGCUCUCAGAAUUCAGAAAACCAAUUUACUCACCAGAUGACUGGUUUAUUACAGGACGAUGUUAAAAGGAUUCGAACCAACAGCCAGAUGAAAAGAUAUGCAAGGCGAGGUCCUGGACAAAGGAACUUCUGUCCUUUUGGAGUUUGGAACCACAGUGGCAUGUGGAGGCGUUCUGCUUCACCCACCUGGAAGCUCUCCAAAACCCUUUCCUUUGGAAUUUUGCGGAGGCUUCAGGACCAGGAAGAGUUGAUUAAAGCCACUGGCGUUGGCGAUUAAUUCAACGUCCAGACAUUUUCUCCUCCUCCGCAAUCAGGGGGUGGGACUGAGAGUUCCCACCCUCUAAGCAAAUUUGUUCCCCUGAUAAAGAGCCUGUCCUUAAGUGCUUUCUAAAAUCACCUGAUUAACAUAAACCCAAUUGUGGUGGAAAGAGGCUUAUUGUGAAUAACCAGACUCCCUUUUCACCUGCAGGGGUCUGCAGCAUUUUUUCUGAAACUGAGGACAAGAAACCAAAUAUCAUAACAAAGGAUGCUCCCCUGGGUCUUACUGUUGAGGAAAUUCCCAAGGGUUUGGGAACUGUGAGCCAGAAACUGUGGACAGAGAGACCCAAGGUAUUUACUGUGAGGUUUUGUGAGGCAGUCGGGGAUUUAGAAAGGGCUCAGGAUCUCUCAUGAGAUCACAAUCAGAUGCAAGCUAGGUGUGCAGUCAACUUGAGGUUUGGGGAGAAGCUACUCCCACAGUGGCUCAUUCACAUGGUUGGCAUGAUGAUCCGAGCAAUUGGCGGGAGGCUUCAGUUUCUCUCCUUGUAGGACUGCUUGAGUGUCCUCAGGAGAGGAAUGGCGACUCCCAAUCUAGAGGAAAGAACAAAGUAGCUGGAAAACUUAUGGGACAUAGCCACCUCUAAGACCUAUUGGAUGAGGCCUGAGAGAGGUGACUGGACAAAGCCAAUGGGAAAAAGGAAGAAAGUCUGGACCCCCCGUUGGUACCCCCAACCCUAAGAAAUAAAAACCUCCAUAAAACAAUAGGAAGGGGGGACUCAUCCUUCCCCUCCCAGUGUCUGUGCUGGGAGCUAUUUGCUGUCCUGUAAUAAAGACUUGGGCUUGCUUGCUGCCUGUGUGUUGAAGUUCAUUCUUCAGCUCCGAGAACAGAAACCUGGAUUCUGGUAAAAUCUUUCUGGUAACAAUCAUGACAUGAUAACUGGCUUCCCCCGGAAGAGCAAAGAGUCCAGGGUGUAAAGCUGCAAUGUGUUUAGACAAGCCUUAGAAUUCACGCACCACCACUUUCAUCACCUUCUGUUCAUCACACAGACCGGCCACGAUUAAAGGUGUGUACCAGGUGAGCAUCGCUGAGGGUAUUUUUUGAGGCUAGCGACCGCAUUCCAUCUGUUGGUUUUCCUCGUCUUUAACGAUUAAUGAUUAAUGAUUUAUCCUGGCGCUCUCUCCACCUCAUACAUACAUAGAAAAAAGCCUGAUUCUUUAUAAAGCUGUAAAAUGCUCUGUUAAAGGAUAUACUUUUCUUCCAUAGAUAAAAAUGUGUUGUUACAUUGACGUUUUUUGUCUCAUGUUGCUAGUAGAAAUAACACACUAGUAAAUAACCUGGCGCUUAUGUCCCUUCAAAGUGUUCAAGUUGUUAACUGGAGAUUGGCACUUGCCAUCUGCCUCUACAUGGACUGAAUCACGAGCCUCUGCAGCUGCUGAUCCUCAACACCCCCUGAGAGGAGCUGAAAGUGAAGAUCAGGUGUGAGGCAUUCAGUGCUCUGGGAAAACUGGCAGAGCAGGUCCUCAGGUAGAUGUUUUCAGGAGAUUUAAUGAGCCCAAUUCUUGUUAUCUCCUCAUAUCCAGAAAAGCACUCAGAUCCUGCCUGGUGACAUCUGCUCCUUGUGACUAACAGUAAACUUCAUGAGACUAGCAGCAACCGUCUGCAAAAUGUGUGCUUCACAGCAUGUGCCUCCCCCUUCCCUGAAAUCACAUAUGUAAUAAUAUUCUCCCCUUCCUCUUGGGAGAGCUCUCAGAAAUGCUGCCUCCUAGAAUAUACCCCAAAUAAAACUAAACUCUCAACUUUUAGGCUGUGCUUUUUUUUUUCUUUCCUCCUGUCUUUUUAUUUUUAGGGCAGCACCCGAGGCACAUGGAGGUUCCUGGGGCUAAGGGUCAAAUCGGCGCUGUAGCCGCUGGCCUACACCACAGCCACAGCA